Molecule: long non-coding RNA, 381 nt
Organism: Helianthus annuus (common sunflower)
Lineage: Eukaryota; Viridiplantae; Streptophyta; Magnoliopsida; Asterales; Asteraceae
Exons: 3
Source: RefSeq, a predicted model, not a curated record
UAUGACAUUAAUUUAUUUUGACACAUUGUUAGUGUAAAAUUCAGUAAAAGUCCAUUGUUAUUGUAUAAUUCAAUAAAAGGCCUAUUCAUUUUAGGUUGUAAAUAAUCAAAUUUCAAAAUGGGCCAAAGAAUUUGUAUCCAAUUAGAAGCUGUUAAUGGGCUUGUGGGUUGAAGGCCCUGUGUUUGAAAUAUAGCCCUAAAGACAUUUUGAAUGGAACAUUUACGUCUUUCGGAACUAACUUGCGAGAACGAAGAGAGAGCUUUCUUCAAGAUCUUUGGCAAACGAAUCCACAGUUAUAAGGAUGUAUGGUUUUGCAUGUUACAUGGAGGACAACCAAAGAAAAUGUUUGGUUCUCCCAAAAAAAUAUAAAGAAUGGAUAAC